AAAAAAAUAAUAAUAAAAAUGCAUAAAAAUCACCCUUUGGUAUUAUCUGUCGCAAAGCUCGUUGCACAUGCUGCAUACUGUUUUGUAGCAUAAACGAUCUGAUGCAUUAAAGGGGCCUGCAGGUUGUAAUAAAGCAUCCCAGCUCUGCCUCCGCAGUGAGUCCUUUUACUGAGGUCUCAAGUGGUGUAAAAAAAUAAGAGAGAGGCCCAUCUGGCUUCUCAUCAGCUUUGUCAAGUCUUGCAUACUCUGAAAUGCUAAUGACCUAGAUAGCUGAUGCAAAAUGCAGCAAAGAGAGAGAGGGAGAGAAAGAGAGAGAGGGGGAGAAAAAGAGAGAGUGAGGUAAAGAGGGGAGGGAACAGAAUGGAGAGAUGGAGAUUGUUUGGUUGCAGUAUAUACACCCUUUCCA
This is a non-coding RNA of Pelobates cultripes (western spadefoot toad), 406 nucleotides long. The record is from the annotation of a GenBank genome assembly. NCBI's taxonomy places the organism in Eukaryota, Metazoa, Chordata, Amphibia, Anura, Pelobatidae.